GGGCCCGCACAAGCGGUGGAGUAUGUGGUUUAAUUCGAAGCAACGCGCAGAACCUUACCAACCCUUGACAUCCUGUGCUACAUCCAGAGAUGAAUUGGUGCCUUCGGGAACUCUGAGACAGGUGCUGCAUGGCUGUCGUCAGCUCGUGUUGUGAAAUGUUGGGUUAAGUCCCGCAACGAGCGCAACCCUUAUCCUUGUUUGCCAGCGAGUAAUGUCGGGAACUCCAGGGAGACUGCCGGUGAUAAACCGGAGGAAGGUGGGGACGACGUCAAGUCAUCAUGGCCCUUACGAGUAGGGCUACACACGUGCUACAAUGGCGCAUACAGAGGGCAGCCAACUUGCGAGAGUGAGCGAAUCCUAAAAAGUGCGUCGUAGUCCGGAUCGGAGUCUGCAACUCGACUCCGUGAAGUCGGAAUCGCUAGUAAUCG
This 428-nucleotide ribosomal RNA is filed under the name uncultured bacterium. RNAcentral's name for it is "bacterial SSU rRNA". It matches the Rfam family "Bacterial small subunit ribosomal RNA", at positions 917 to 1344 of the family's 1533-position model. The record is from RNAcentral.